CUCUCUCUCUCAAAAAUAAUUAAACAUUGAAAGAAAUAGACUUAAAAAAGGGAAAGCUUUGGUUAGCAGUAGAUAAUGUGCUUUUAGCCUUCCUCGUGACUUGGUGACCUUAAAGCAGAGGUUCGGGCACUCAUCUUGGAUGAGCAGGUUGCCGGGCAGAAAACUGUGCUGCCUUUGCUAUGUUUCUCUUAGCGAAGUAAAUAUGUUACCUGUCUUUUUUUUUUUUUUUUUCCAUGUAAGAAUGCCAUGAGACAUUUUAAGUUUUGUAAAUUGCUCUUUGUAGGUGGUUUCCAACUAUCUCAAUGGACGAAACUAGGCAUUCCCUGAAAGAGCAAAAGAGAGUAAGGCUUCUGGUGGUGAUCGUGUCCUCAGUGGGGUUUUAGGAUUGCUGCUGGCUUUUGGUGGCUUCUCCUUUUGUCACAAUUUUGGGAGACGCGGGGAACAGUGUGAGUGGCGCCCAUCCCAGACCUUCAGAUGGUGGUAGGACUCCAGAUAGAAGAACGGAAAUCCACUUAAUAAAAACCUUAAUUUAUUUGUUUUUACUCUAAAAGGGAUACAUGUCCACAGUAGAAAAUUGAAAACUGUAGGAGAAAAAAAAGAACAAAGAGCCAAAAAUAAAAUACUUCUACUACCAAACACAAUCCUGAUUAAUAUUUCAAGGGUUGUUCAAAUACAUUUUUUUUCCUUAUAAAUAAGGCUUUAGGGUUUUUUUUGUUUUUUUGUUUUUUGUCUUCUUGGUGGAUAUCGUAGUCUGUGUACUUCUCCCUUUAGCUUUAUGAUGGGCGUUUCCAUAUCGAAAUGCAGUCCUCGGUGCCCAUCUGGUUCUCUGAGUCCGUAAGUGGCUCACUAGCCUCAUUCGUGGUUCUUUUCGAAAAUGAUUCACUGGCUAUUAAGGCGGAUAGUAUGAUACGCAGUGACUGUGGCACAGUGGCUAGUUUGUAUAAAAGAUCAUUUUGAAGGGAGCCUUCAUUUGUUCACUUCCAAUUCUGGGCCCUUCACAAAAUAAUCUCAAGAUUAGAAAAGUUGAAAACAAAACGAUCUCUUCUUGAUUGAUACUCUCUCUUCCCACCCUCCCUGUCAACUGACAUUUUAGAAAGUACGUGGAGAGUGUUGGGUAUGUUUCUAUGACAUUCUACGGCUUUAUUUUAAUUAUACCACUUAUCAAUAGUACAAUCGUAGAGAUUCUGUUCUCCUAAAAAUAACAUUUUUAUAAUUAGAGCAUGCCAGUAUUACUAUUUGAAAGUUGUAUUUCCCUGAAAUACUUCCGAGUAAUUUUUUUUUUUUGAGAAAAAUUACAUGUCUGUUCCAUGUCGACUUCAUUUUUGAGAUAAUACCAAAAAUCUGCAACUUUUUAGGCAGAGCGAAAUGCUUGCAUCUUUCUAGCCCUUGAUGCUGUUAGACACAAAAUAGAAUCCAUUGUCCAGGAUAAAGUAGAAUUUUUCAUUUAUUCAUUCAUAGCCUUUGGCCCAAUAGAUCCAAUUAGAGAGUUUAUCCACAUGAAGCUAUAAGAACUCAAAGGUAAAUGUUCAAGCAAGAUAAAUGUGAAUAUUUAACCAGCACAGUAGAGAACCUGGCUAACCAGAAGGUAACCUGUCAGUACCCUGUAUCAUGCCUGCAGGCUGGGAAUCAGCCUUGCGUGCAGGGAUGUUCACUGCAGAAUAUUUUACCUAAAUUGAUAGGAGAAGAUUGAUGAAAUAAAUUAGGACCCAGCCAUGAAAUAGAGAACUGUGCAGCAAUUAAAGGUGAUGAUGGGGAUCUUUCUUAUUGUAAAAAGCAUUCACGAUGUAAUCAAUGUGAACAGCAUGUUAGGUAAUAUUUUACAUGGUAUUAUUCAGUUUUGAUUUAAAAAUUAUACACAUGCACAGGUAGCUCUGAGCAGUAAGAUUAUGGAGGAAAUUUACUUUAUUCAUGUUUUACAACAAGAAAAUAUUACUGUUAAAAUUAGGAAAACUUUUUAUAUUGAAGGAAAAACAUUUGUAAAAGCUUAAAGGUUGAAAAGAAGAAUAUUGGAGUAUUUAUUAGUCAUAAAAAGGAAAUGCUGUGUUUUAGAAAGGCCUCCAGCAGCUCUCAAAUGGCUACAAAGCUCUGUUCAUCGAAUCCUGGGUCUUUAAGUAUUCAGAAAUCUAUUUUAAUUAAAAACCGACUUGGAAAUCAUAACUAAAAUAAAGGUAGCCUCAGUGUCUCAACUCAUAAGAGCCAUAUAACCCAAAGCUAAUACUAAAAGGGGGUCACCUAAUUAACCCUCCUCAAAAACUCAGCACGUACACCAAUUCUACGUGAACCAGGGCGGAAUUUGUAUUCAAUAGUUGUUUCAGGGAAUCUCUUUUAUUUGCCUCCUAGCAUCCCUAAUUUGUGCAAAGAUUGGAUGCUGUUCACUUAAAAUCUGUGUUUGUAUAGCCAUAAUUGAAUGUUUAAAGAAACCCAAAGCUUCCCUGGAGAAGCAUUUUUCACAGUGAUGCUGUCUGCCUACAGAGCUGCGGGGACCGCUUUAUGACUUAUCAUAACUCUCCUGGGUCCCCGUGGGCUCUCAGGCCAUCCCUCAAACAGGUGCUCUGUGCAACUGCAUCUUUGAUCAAAAUGCUUUAUUGGACAGGCUGGCCAGCUUAGACAUCCGUUUUUCCAGUUUAGGAUAAUUAGAAGUGAUGGCGGGAGAUCACACUCCCCCCGUCUCUCAGAUCCACCGAGCGUUCUGUUUUUGAAGCCUUGGCCCAUCACUGACUGGAGGCAGGUGCUGCGGGAAGGUCCACGGCCCACUGAAUUUAUAUCUGCUGGUCUUCGUGCGAGGGGAACUCCGGCAUUGGCUUUUAUUCCGUCUGGAAUAAUUCCAGACCUCUCUUAAGGGGCAAAUCUAAUUAAUAUUCACUCAAACGGUAGAAGAAAGGGCAUUUUAAAUUUGUCAGACAUGGGAGUAAAUAUUUGGGCAGGUGUUUAUUUGAUAGCAUCUCUUGGAGCAUCCUGAUGCAGGAGGGAGAAAUGUGGCCGGUGCAGAGAUAGCGUCGGAUAGGUUAGGGGUGGGCUGAAUAGUCACCCAGAGGAUAUGAAUCCAUGGUUCAUGUUGACCCAAACCAUGUUGGACAGCCGGACUGAGAUGCGGUCAGUGGCCUCGGGGCUGUGUCCGAGGCCUCGUCCUGGCCCGCAAUUUCCUGAGCCAUCUCUAUGAAGACAUCAGAGGUGCACUGACCACACUUCUUAACAACGCCAAACUUGAGGGCUAACUGCUCUGCAUCACAGAAUCCGGAUUAUAGAGAUUUCAGCAGUGUGGCUCAAUGGGCCAAAACCAACAAGGUGAGAUUUAAUGAGGAUAAAUGUAAAGUCCUAUGCUUGGGUUAACGGAAAACAAACGUAAGUUCAGAAGGAAAUUUACUCGUAGUUCUCAUGAAUGAGACCCACAAACUCAACAUGAGCCCCUGAGGCCAUGUGGCUGCUCUAAGGUGAUUGCCACCUGUGUGUGUGCAGGGGUGCCAUGGCCCUAAACCAGAGUGGCUGUUGUCCUGCCGCGCGGUGACCCUGUCGGAUCACUGAACCCUCCAGAACACCCCCCCUGUGCCGCUCCACGAUGUCCUUAAGGCCAGGGUCUCAGCUGCCUCCUCCACCUGCGUCCCCAGGGUCUGGCUGGUAGUGGGCACCUGUUAAGCACUUACCGUGAGAUUCAAGGAUGGAAUGCCGACAGUCUGGACCAAGCCAGAAGUGAGUCAUCAGGAGGUUAAGGGUCUGUCUUGGGUGGUGUAAGAAACUAAUUAUUCAAGGAGACACAGGGCUGGAGUCAAGAAACCAGGCUUUGAAACCCAGCUCUGCUUCCAGCCACAAGCUUACCUUCUCUGUUUUCUCAUCUGCAAGAAGGAAGACGAGUCUGUGCACGCUCAGCGCUAAAAGAUUCGAGCUCGUGUUGGUUUUCGAGAUCAGGUUUGGAUGACUCAGUGACCCAUUCCUGUGCACCCAGCGAUAUUUGUUACUUCGCCUAAGUAUAUUUUGGGUUCGCCGAAACUAUGAUCUACUUCAAACUUCUUAAAUUAGUGGAGAUCAGAUCAUGCCUAAUCUUGCCUGUGAGAGUUGAUGAUAGCCAAAUAGCCUGAUUCUGACAAGAGCUGGAAAGGAUUAGCGUGCUAAGCUUUUGGCUCUUAAUUUCACAAUCUUGACAUCUUUAGGAAUUAAAAAUUUUUAAGUUUUGGUGCACCAAGUGCUGUUUUUUAAAAAAUUUCUACUCUUGCAGAGGAAGCCCACCCUGCCUAUUAGAACCCCCAGCUUUAAUUUGCCAGGGUGGGGGGGGGUGUCUAAUUACUGACUCAAGUACCAGGGACAAAACCUUAUCUCAGAAAGUCUUCUGUCUACUUGCCUGGUUUUGUCUCUCAGCUGCUUCCCUUCCACCAUCCACAAGUCUUUAUUAACUCAAAUGAUUGAUAAUGAGUUAAUAAUAAAUCAAUGAAAUCGUUUCUUUGUUCACUUAGUCGUUUGUUCACAAAUGUUUAUUUAGUACCAGACACUUGGGGUUGGCACUGGAGAUAGAGUGAACAAGGUCAAGGCCUUGUCCUCUUGGAGGCCAGUCAAGGAGCCCAACACUACACAGGCCAUCACAAAACAGUAAUGGAAGACAGCGAGUGGGGCUGAGAGCCGAGGAAGACAGUGUGGGGCCCGGCAUGGCCUAGGGAAGGAAGGCAUGUGAGGAAGCAGAUUUUGAACUACACAUGACUCGGACCAAGCCAGGCAAAGGAGGGCAGAGGGUAGAGGGUUCCCAGAGAAGGAGGGGCUGGCAUAAACGUCGUGGGGCAGGGGCGAAGGAGCUUUGAAGCAUUUCAGAAACUAAGAGUCGGUGUGCUACUGGGCAAGAGGGAGACGGUAAGAGAAGUGGACGUCAGCCCGUGCAGGACCUCGUGCUCUGUGAUAAGGACCUCAGUGCCUGUAAGUAGGGCAAUGACGUGAUAAAAUUCAGUUUUUAAAAUAGCAUUCUGGCUACACGUGAAGAUGAGGUUGGGGAAGCUGAAGAGUGGGGUUGGACGGGAGGCUGUUUAUCGCCGGUGCACAGGAAGGAGCAGGUAAUGGCUCCAAGCAACAGAGUCCACAGAAAGGGGUAGAUGAGAGACGUUCAGCGGCGAGAAUGGGCAGAAAGUGAUGAGCAGUUGGCUGCCCGGGGGAAUGGAAAGGGCAACUCUUCUACAGGAAAUGCUAGAACAUUGAUGAUCUGUGAUCAGAAUAGAGAACCCUAGGAAAGAACCCAAAACUUGCCCUUUGGGCAAUGGCCGGGGACACCAAGACGUGGAUCGUGGUGGGCACGGUCCUUAAAGUCUUGCAGAAGCGUGGACUUUUGCGCCUAACAGAAUCCCCUCGGGAGGUGACCUGUGGAAGGUUAUCAUGUGGAAUGGGGCAUGACAUUUCUUUGGGAUCUGUGGAUGUUUGUGGCUGGCCUAAGUAUAGCAAUGUCCGGGGGCUGUGAGCUGAAGUGCACCAGCCUGUGGUGAAUGGGACAUCGUGAGGCCUCGGCCAUGACCCUGAGAGUGUCUGGGUGGCUGUCACAACCCAAGGCACUGUCAGUGUUUCCUGUGAUAUCUGGGUGGGAGCACAGUGGGGCGAGCCUGUAGCUUCGAGGCCUGCUCCGGGACCUAUUCCACAUCCUUCCUAUAGUCUGUCUCCAUCUAGCGGGUGCUCCCUCUGCCAGGAGUGCCUACAGACAACCUUCCCCUCCUUCAACUCUGUCUGGGGCAUUUUCGUGGGACCACCAGCACGAGGAUCACCUGGGGAGCUUGUUCCCAAGGCAGAUGCCGGGCCCCGUGUCUCUCUAUUGAACGAGAAUCGCCAGUCAUAGGGCCUGGGGGUUGUAUUUGGGAUACAUUCCACAAGGAGUUCUCUUCAUAACCGGCCACAGGAAGCUAUUGACGUUAAUUUAAAUAAAAGUCAAACUUCAGUUAGUUGGUAACACCAGCCACAGUUCACAUGCUCAUUGCCACUUAGAGCUGUGUGAACAUUUCCGUUAUGGCUGAAAGUUGUGCUGGAGGUGCUGGGGUGGGCAGGGAAAUGCCAGCCCACUAGAUCCUCCUAGUUUGGGGUCCCUGUCUUAGCUGAUGCAUUGCCCAUGAGAAUGGUCUUUCCUACAGGGAGUGACCACCCCUCUCCAGGCUACCUGAUUCCUGCAGUACGGCAUGUUCCAUCCCCUGCUUUGCAGCUUCGGGCUGUACCCGAUGGGUCGCCUCUGCACUUGGAUGAGUUGGAGAAAGGACAGUGGAAAAUCCUCUGCCCAUGACUGUAGACUCCUGCAGUUGAUGGACUUCAGGGGUCUUCUAACUAGACCCAACCCCUUCUGAAUUAAGUUAAAGUCUCUUAACAUUUAAGAGUUCUUUCUACUUGGGCUAAAUUUUGUUUGCUGGGUAAGAACUGCAUCCCCUUGAACUUCCUUCCUCAUCUCAGUCUUUGAAGUUAUACAGACAUUGGAAAAGGUCAGCCCGCCAUUUUUAGAAUUUUUGGCUCCCCAGCCUGACUUAACCUUUAACGUGCCUGAGCUGGUUAAGUUCAACCUUUCCAAAGCGGUGCCCCUCUACAAUUCCAGUUUGAGAGUAUGGCAUCCUUGAAUGGACUUCUUUAAAGUUUGAAGGGUUUGACAAGGUCAUUUGAGAUGGACGUGGAUUUCCAAGUCUAAUUACAUCACUUCCAGUCCUUUGCUUCUUGUGCCUCAGGUUUAUGAUUUUCUGAUGAGAAUCUGGCACAUCCUCA
Molecule: long non-coding RNA, 6699 nt
Organism: Leopardus geoffroyi (Geoffroy's cat)
Lineage: Eukaryota; Metazoa; Chordata; Mammalia; Carnivora; Felidae
Exons: 2
Source: RefSeq, a predicted model, not a curated record